GAUGAACGCUGGCGGCGUGCCUAAUACAUGCAAGUCGAACGAACAGACGAGAGUUCUUGCACGCGCUGACGUGAGGGACGGACGGGUGAGAAACACGUAGGUAACCUACCUAUAAGACAGGACUAACGGCGAGAAGCCGGAGCAAAUAACGUAUAAUGUUUAGCGUCGCAUGAAGGGAGGGAAGAAGACGGUUGUGCUGUGACGGACAGAUGGACCCGCGGUGUAUUGGCUGGUUGGUGAGGUAACGGCUCACCAAGGCAACGAUGCAUAGACGAGCUGAGAGGGUGAUCGGCCACACUGGGACUGAGACACGGCCCAGACUCCUACGGGAGUCAGCAGUGGGGAAGCUUCCGCAAUGGCCGAAUGUCUGACGGAGCAAUGCCGCGUGAGUGAAGAAGGUUUUCGGAUCUUAAAACUCUGUUGUAAGUGAAGAACAAGUACGUCAGUAACUGAACGUAUCGUGACGGUACCUUACCAGAAAGCCACGGCUAACUACGUG
Molecule: ribosomal RNA, 499 nt
Filed under: uncultured bacterium
Lineage: Bacteria
Description: partial 16S ribosomal RNA
Rfam family: Bacterial small subunit ribosomal RNA
Source: RNAcentral